This 662-nucleotide ribosomal RNA is filed under the name Salmonella enterica. Its description in RNAcentral is "partial 23S ribosomal RNA". It matches the Rfam family "Bacterial large subunit ribosomal RNA", at positions 657 to 1315 of the family's 2925-position model. The record is from RNAcentral. RNAcentral also lists the same sequence under 1 other name. Lineage: Bacteria; Pseudomonadati; Pseudomonadota; Gammaproteobacteria; Enterobacterales; Enterobacteriaceae.
AUAGGGGAGCCGAAGGGAAACCGAGUCUUAACUGGGCGUUAAGUUGCAGGGUAUAGACCCGAAACCCGGUGAUCUAGCCAUGGGCAGGUUGAAGGUUGGGUAACACUAACUGGAGGACCGAACCGACUAAUGUUGAAAAAUUAGCGGAUGACUUGUGGCUGGGGGUGAAAGGCCAAUCAAACCGGGAGAUAGCUGGUUCUCCCCGAAAGCUAUUUAGGUAGCGCCUCGUGAACUCAUCUUCGGGGGUAGAGCACUGUUUCGGCUAGGGGGGCAUCCCGACUUACCAACCCGAUGCAAACUGCGAAUACCGAAGAAUGUUAUCACGGGAGACACACGGCGGGUGCUAACGUCCGUCGUGAAGAGGGAAACAACCCAGACCGCCAGCUAAGGUCCCAAAGUCACAGUUAAGUGGGAAACGAUGUGGGAAGGCUCAGACAGCCAGGAUGUUGGCUUAGAAGCAGCCAUCAUUUAAAGAAAGCGUAAUAGCUCACUGGUCGAGUCGGCCUGCGCGGAAGAUGUAACGGGGCUAAACUGUGCACCGAAGCUGCGGCAGCGACGCUUAUGCGUUGUUGGGUAGGGGAGCGUUCUGUAAGCCUGCGAAGGUGUCCUGUGAGGGAUGCUGGAGGUAUCAGAAGUGCGAAUGCUGACAUAAGUAACGAUAA